Molecule: ribosomal RNA, 425 nt
Filed under: Gerstfeldtiancylus kotyensis
Lineage: Eukaryota; Metazoa; Mollusca; Gastropoda; Acroloxidae
Description: partial 16S large subunit ribosomal RNA
Source: RNAcentral
AGCUAAAAGAAUAAAUAUUUUUAGUAUACCCUGCCCAGUGAUAAUUUUAACGGCCGCAGUACCUUGACUGUGCUAAGGUAGCAUAAUAAAUUGGCUUUUAAUUAAAGUCUGGAAUGAAUGGAAUUUUAAAAUUUAGCUGUCAUAAUAAUUAUUUUUUUGAAUUUAUUUAUUUGGUGAAAAUACCAAAAAGGUUAGUAAAAAGACGAGAAGACCCUAAGAAUUUAAAAUAUUUUUUGUUGGGGCGACAAAAAGACACAUAAACUCUUUUAUUAUAUCUUAUUUAACGAAUAAUUUUAAUUAAAAAUAAAUUACCUUAGGGAUAACAGCAUAAUUAGUUUUUUUACUGUUUAUGACCUCGAUGUUGGACUAGAAAAUUUUUUAGCUAGCUGCUAAAAAAUUUUGUUCUGUUCGAACAAUUAUUUUCU